This 497-nucleotide ribosomal RNA is filed under the name uncultured bacterium. RNAcentral describes it as "partial 16S ribosomal RNA". It matches the Rfam family "Bacterial small subunit ribosomal RNA", at positions 28 to 507 of the family's 1533-position model. The record is from RNAcentral.
GACGAACGCUGGCGGCGUGCCUAAUACAUGCAAGUAGAACGCUGAAGAGAGGAGCUUGCUCUUCUUGGAUGAGUUGCGAACGGGUGAGUAACGCGUAGGUAACCUGCCUUGUAGCGGGGGAUAACUAUUGGAAACGAUAGCUAAUACCGCAUAACAAUGGAUGACACAUGUCAUUUAUUUGAAAGGGGCAAUUGCUCCACUACAAGAUGGACCUGCGUUGUAUUAGCUAGUAGGUGAGGUAAUGGCUCACCUAGGCGACGAUACAUAGCCGACCUGAGAGGGUGAUCGGCCACACUGGGACUGAGACACGGCCCAGACUCCUACGGGAGGCAGCAGUAGGGAAUCUUCGGCAAUGGGGGCAACCCUGACCGAGCAACGCCGCGUGAGUGAAGAAGGUUGUCGGAUCGUAAAGCUCUGUUGUAAGUCAAGAACGGGUGUGAGAGUGGAAAGUUCACACUGUGACGGUAGCUUACCAGAAAGGGACGGCUAACUACGUG